This 254-nucleotide ribosomal RNA is filed under the name uncultured bacterium. Its description in RNAcentral is "partial 16S ribosomal RNA". It matches the Rfam family "Bacterial small subunit ribosomal RNA", at positions 524 to 776 of the family's 1533-position model. The record is from RNAcentral.
GACAGAGGGUGCAAACGUUGUUCGGAAUUACUGGGCGUAAAGCGUGUGUAGGCGGUCCUCUAAGUCGGAUGUGAAAUCCCUGGGCUCAACCCAGGAAGUGCACUCGAAACUGGAGGGCUAGAGUAUCGGAGAGGUUGGUGGAAUUCUCGGUGUAGAGGUGAAAUUCGUAGAUAUCGAGAGGAACACCGGUGGCGAAGGCGGCCAACUGGACGAAUACUGACGCUGAGACACGAAAGCGUGGGGGAGCAAACAGG